This 254-nucleotide ribosomal RNA is filed under the name uncultured bacterium. RNAcentral's name for it is "partial 16S ribosomal RNA". It matches the Rfam family "Bacterial small subunit ribosomal RNA", at positions 524 to 776 of the family's 1533-position model. The record is from RNAcentral.
UACGUAGGGGGGCAAGCGUUGUCCGGAUUUAUUGGGCGUAAAGAGCGUGUAGGCGGCCGUGCAGGUCAGCUGUGAAAACUCGAGGCUCAACCUCGAGACGUCGGUUGAAACCGCUUGGCUAGAGUCCGGAAGAGGAGAGUGGAAUUCCCGGUGUAGCGGUGAAAUGCGCAGAUAUCGGGAAGAACACCCGUGGCGAAGGCGGCUCUCUGGGACGGUACUGACGCUGAGACGCGAAAGCGUGGGGAGCGAACAGG